This 309-nucleotide long non-coding RNA is filed under the name Bos indicus x Bos taurus (hybrid cattle). RNAcentral describes it as "lncRNA (ENSBIXG00000007048.1)". Lineage: Eukaryota; Metazoa; Chordata; Mammalia; Artiodactyla; Bovidae. The record is from RNAcentral.
AUGAGGCUAUUAUGCCCAGCAGAAAAUCGAUUAGAAGCCUCAUCCCAACUCUUGCCUUCUCAGACCCAGACAAUUGAGGACCGAGGCGUGGACACUAUGCUGCGUCUCUCACUGACCGCCAUGACCUAUCCAGGCAGAUUUCUGCGGCGGGAUCUGGAAGAGUGGUGCCUGACGUGCUAAACCCACCUUUCCACCAGAUGGCAGGACUCUGAUCCCCUGGCGAGAGGCUGGAAAAGUGGGUAAUGUAAAGUGAAAGUGAAAGUGAAGUCGCUCAGUUGUGUCCGACUCUUUGCGACCCGUGGACUGUGG